CUUCAGUCAGCGAAGUCCACUGGGUUCCUCUGCUGAUGGGUGUCCAGGGUGCAGUGGUGGCAGACAGCAACCUGCUCAGUAGAGGAUGUGGCCUGUUGCUUGCACGGGCUGCCCUGAGGGAACGUGAAGACACUG
Fukomys damarensis (Damara mole-rat) is the source of this 135-nucleotide small nucleolar RNA. Its record names the gene SNORA70. It matches the Rfam family "Small nucleolar RNA SNORA70". Rfam says of the family: snoRNA U70 seems to be exclusive to mammals and is a member of the H/ACA class of snoRNA which contain H (ANANNA) and ACA box motifs. H/ACA box snoRNAs are involved in the conversion of uridines to pseudouridines (5-ribosyluracil) a constituent of structural RNAs (transfer, ribosomal, small nuclear, and small nucleolar). The record is from Ensembl. NCBI's taxonomy places the organism in Eukaryota, Metazoa, Chordata, Mammalia, Rodentia, Bathyergidae.